GCUGGGUGUGGUGGCGCAUGCCUGUACUCCCAGCUACUCUGGAGGCUGAGGUGGGAGGAUCACUUGAGCCUAGGAGGUCAAAGCUGCAGUGAACCAAGAUCAUGCCACUGCACUCCAGCCUAGGCAAUAGAGUGAGACCCUGCCUCAA
Non-coding RNA from Gorilla gorilla gorilla (western lowland gorilla), 148 nucleotides. It matches the Rfam family "Metazoan signal recognition particle RNA". Rfam says of the family: The signal recognition particle (SRP) is a universally conserved ribonucleoprotein. It is involved in the co-translational targeting of proteins to membranes. The record is from Rfam. NCBI's taxonomy places the organism in Eukaryota, Metazoa, Chordata, Mammalia, Primates, Hominidae.